GGAGAAAUGGCCGAGUGGCUGAAGGCGCUCGCCUGCUAAGCGAGUAUGGGUGUUGUUAUCCAUCUAGAGUUCGAAUCUCUAUUUCUCCGCCA
This 92-nucleotide transfer RNA is filed under the name Pseudomonadota bacterium. Its description in RNAcentral is "Proteobacteria bacterium (groundwater metagenome) tRNA-Ser". It matches the Rfam family "tRNA". From Rfam's summary of the family: Transfer RNA (tRNA) molecules are approximately 80 nucleotides in length. Lineage: Bacteria; Pseudomonadati; Pseudomonadota. RNAcentral also lists the same sequence under 2 other names. The record is from RNAcentral.